RNAcentral lists this non-coding RNA (31 nucleotides) under Rattus norvegicus (Norway rat). Lineage: Eukaryota; Metazoa; Chordata; Mammalia; Rodentia; Muridae. The record is from RNAcentral.
UGCAGAAUGAUAAACUAUCCUCUCUCAGGAC